CAGCUGUCAGCACCACUCAUUUUGCUUAGAAGUACACUCUGGAAUCAAAGUUUUGUCUCAAGCCUAGGAAAAUUAGCUCUGAAACUAUGCAUAUACAGACCAACAACAACUUGAGAAACUCCACCGGGCCUCAGUUAUUCCGCUAGAAGCGUACAGGCACAAUAUUAGCAGAGGAGGAAUUCUGACUAAUGAUGUGCCACAUUCUAUCAGUGUCUGGCUGACUACGCUGCGUACACAGAGUGCUGUACAUGAGCUGCAGGGUGCGAUUCUACCUCAGAACAGCCCUUGAGAACAGCGUGUCCUGCAGCCAUCAUCAGCAGAUGUUGUAUGAGCAAUCUUGAAUGGCAGCUGAUUACAUGCCUAGUAGGAAACUGAACUGCAAGACAACAUUUCCCAUAUUCUUCCAGAAUCAAGGACUUGUGAGGACUCAUUGCUAUCUCAACAGGAACAUCCUCAAACUUUCAGGCUCUUGGGGUUUCCAAGUCCUAGACACUUUGCCACUGAAUGUAUAAUCCCAAGUGAACAGCAAUAAUCUCAGACGUGGCUACAUUGCCGCACUCCAAUAGGAGGCUGAGAGUACAAACUAGUAUUUUUAAAGAUUUUAGCCGCAGUUUACAAAUUUGCCUGCUAGUCCUCUUCCACCUGACAAAGAACACAUUUCUGUGCACUGCUUUUGCUGCAUGCCACUGUGCCCAAGGCUCGAACUGAGAAGCGUUUCACUUCUAGAAAUCUCCCUGCAAACAAAAGAUUGGUCACUCCCAGCAGUGGCUCACCUAAGAGUGCAGCUGCGAUCUGAUCUUUAUGUGCCAUAAGCACUCCUGAAAGAAGCCCUCGCAGCAGUUCAUAGGCUAAUCUGUUCCUCAGAAGAAAUAAGGAAUCAGAUUCUGCUGCCAAAGGCAGUAUUUCAUCUCAUUUCUAACCCUCAUGCAUCUCUGUGUCGCUUAUUGAACGUCAUACAAAAUUGUGUGGUUGAAUUAGUAGGGUUCAUAAUGUGCACCAAGUCAGGUUCUGUCACCUACUUAAUGCAAUGCCUUUGAACUACAGGAACUCAACACAUUCAGCACUUUGUGUAGCUUCUGACAGUAGCGGUUUUGAUUUUAAAACAAAAAUGCUUUGGACUGUGAAUUCAAUGAGAUCUAGUUGCUCUUCACAGUAGUUGUAGAUUAAUUGAUUUCAAUUGAAACGGAAUUACAUAACUUCUUAUGUCAGUGUAAUUAGGAGGAGAAUCUAGACUCCUAGCACAGAGCAUGACCUGAAGACACAGUACUCAGGCUGAACUUUAAGAUGCAGGGUUACAAGGUAGCACUCAUUUCCCAUCUGUCUGUCUUAGCAAGUUUUGUAAAACAGCCAAGAAAUAGAAAUAAGACUGUUUGGAGACUUCAGAAUUUCUUAUUGACCUCCACUAUCAGGAAAACUGGAUUUUGUGCUGGAAUGGAAAUUAGUGAUCCUGCCAGGUUUAUUUUAUUGAUAUUCUAUGCUUUUACAUAAUAUGUAUGUCUCUAUGGGCUUGGAAAAUUCUGGUGGCUUUUUAUUGAAAAUAGGCUCUGUAUUAAAUCUACAAAGACAUAUGCUGUUGCCUGCACUUGGAAAGACAUUUUGUUGAGUAUAUUUUUAGUUUCAGAACUGUGUUGUGAAAAUCCUGAGUUACAGAGAGAUGAAUUACACAUGGGAUUACUAAAGCUGUGUGGUUUGGAAACAGCAUGGGUUUCUCUCAUUACCUGAGCUAUAAGUUACUCCAGGAGUCUGGGCACAGGUUUGCCCAGAGAUGCUAAGCAAGCUGGAUACAGUGCAAAAGUGACACCAGUGUGCCGUAGGAAUAGAAUUUACUUCUAGCAGAAGUUUAUAUCAAAGAACGAGAAGUAGAGCAGAGUGACAAUUUCUCUUUCAGUUUUGAUGUUUGCCGUGUCAGGUAAUUUUAAAUGUUUUGUCCCUCUUGAUAAGGAACAUUAAAUUUUCAUUCUUUAUCAGAUCUUUCCUU
This is a long non-coding RNA of Lagopus muta (rock ptarmigan), 1978 nucleotides long. RefSeq lists it as uncharacterized. The transcript is spliced from 4 exons. The record is from RefSeq and is a predicted model, not a curated record. Lineage: Eukaryota; Metazoa; Chordata; Aves; Galliformes; Phasianidae.